CCUCCGAGCUGAUGUGCAGGACCGAUCGACAGUUACCGCAAACGUUUAGUCGGAAGGAAGUCACACCAGAUAAUGAAAGCAAAGGUUCACAUACUUUUUCCUCAAUAAAUAAGUGUCCAAGUCUAAUAUUUUUGUCUAAUUUGUGUAAGUGAGUUCUCUUUACCUACUUUAUCUAUUUCUCAAAAAAUCUGAUUAUGGUUUAGGUCAUAUUUAUGCCAAAAAUGCUAAAGGGUUCAUAAACUUUACAAGCACCACUGUGUGUAUGUGUGUGUGUGUGUGUGUGUGCAAUAAUAUACACAUAGGAACUGCCACAACGUUUCCACAGUGCACACUAAAACUUCCUGGGUUUAAUCCGAUUUACCCAGAAGUCCUGCAUCUGUCAGUUGGGUGACUCUACAUUACACUUUCAGUCAUAAUAAACAGCAAAUCAGUCAAAGUAUGAAGUGGGAUUUUUUCCCCCUCUGAGGAAAUAUGAGAGGUAAACACACCUCUAAAGCAUGAGACCAGAGAUAGACUAUUGAUUUGAGUCAUAAUUGAAAUAGCAUGUGUUCUACAAACAGCCCAGUGAAGGUUAAGACACCCAAAAUGAUCAAUUUAUUACACUGUUUAUAUCUUACAUCACACUGCUGUUGACUGUAAAACAGAAGAACCCUUGAGGAACAUAUGUUGUAUUGAACUAGCUAUCUAGUUUCUGUGGAUGUUUGUUUACUACACCAACGGUUUUAUGUGCUACACUGGUUAAUUGAACAUGUGCUGAACUGGGACAUGUCCAUACUUAACAUUUUGUUCCUUUUAUGACCGUUUACUGGUGUUUUAUAGGCUACAGUAUGGAGUUUCUUCCGUUUAGUGUAUACAUUUCACAAUUGUUCAUGCAUGGAGUUGAAGCGUAUGAAUGUAGACUAAAAGCUAUUUUUAGAGCAAUCACAAAUGAGGGUUCAGUAUGUUCAACCUAGUUAAUUAUCCAAGUACAUAACUUUCAUAAAUUUCAAGUGUGGAUGAAUGAUGUUAUUCAUUUAAAUGUGGUUUUUGGUGUUUAAAAAUAAGAGGUAAUAAAGUUAAUUGGACCCUGGGAAACUGAGUCCUGACUACUGUAUAUAAAAACCUUUUUAAAAAGUUUACUUAAUGUGUGUUAACAGAAUACUGAACUGGGGAACAUAGGAAUGACACCCUUCCAAGCUAUCCAAGCUAGCCUAGCUAAUCAAUGACUGCCCAGAAAACACCAGCAAAUUAGCUAUGUUAUAUUCCAU
Long non-coding RNA from Ictalurus punctatus (channel catfish), 1247 nucleotides. NCBI's taxonomy places the organism in Eukaryota, Metazoa, Chordata, Actinopteri, Siluriformes, Ictaluridae. The record is from Ensembl.